This 497-nucleotide ribosomal RNA is filed under the name uncultured bacterium. RNAcentral's name for it is "partial 16S ribosomal RNA". It matches the Rfam family "Bacterial small subunit ribosomal RNA", at positions 28 to 507 of the family's 1533-position model. The record is from RNAcentral.
GAUGAACGCUGGCGGCGUGCCUAAUACAUGCAAGUCGAGCGAACAGACGAGGAGCUUGCUCCUCUGACGUUAGCGGCGGACGGGUGAGUAACACGUGGAUAACCUACCUAUAAGACUGGGAUAACUUCGGGAAACCGGAGCUAAUACCGGAUAAUAUAUUGAACCGCAUGGUUCAAUAGUGAAAGACGGUUUUGCUGUCACUUAUAGAUGGAUCCGCGCCGCAUUAGCUAGUUGGUAAGGUAACGGCUUACCAAGGCAACGAUGCGUAGCCGACCUGAGAGAGUGAUCGGCCACACUGGAACUGAGACACGGUCCAGACUCCUACGGGAGGCAGCAGUAGGGAAUCUUCCGCAAUGGGCGAAAGCCUGACGGAGCAACGCCGCGUGAGUGAUGAAGGUCUUCGGAUCGUAAAACUCUGUUAUGAGGGAAGAACAAAUGUGUAAGUAACUAUGCACGUCUUGACGGUACCUAAUCAGAAAGCCACGGCUAACUACGUG